This is a regulatory RNA element of Firmicutes bacterium CAG:240, 85 nucleotides long. It matches the Rfam family "S10-Clostridia ribosomal protein leader". NCBI's taxonomy places the organism in Bacteria, Bacillati, Bacillota. The record is from Rfam.
AUUAUGCGAUGAAGCGGGAGAUUGCUCGUUUUUCGAGGUAACUUCCGUGGAGUAUGUCCGGUACCGAUGCCAUUUCGGUACACAA